UUAUGUGGCCAUACCAUCCUGUCAUUGCCUGAUCUCGUUCGAUCUCUGAAGCUAAGCAGGUCUGGGCCUGGUUAGUGGUUGGAUGGGAGACCACUGAGAAUUCCAGGUGCCACAGUGG
RNAcentral lists this ribosomal RNA (118 nucleotides) under Gouania willdenowi (blunt-snouted clingfish). The record is from RNAcentral. Lineage: Eukaryota; Metazoa; Chordata; Actinopteri; Blenniiformes; Gobiesocidae.